CGAUUAGGCAGCAGUGGGGAAUAUUGGGCAAUGGACGCAAGUCUGACCCAGCCAUGCCGCGUGAAGGAUGAAUGUCCUAUGGAUUGUAAACUUCUUUUAUGCAGGAAAAACAUCUCGGUCGUGAACCGGGACUGAUGGUACUGUAUGAAUAAGCAUCGGCUAACUCCGUGCCAGCAGCCGCGGUAAUACGGAGGAUGCAAGCGUUAUCCGGAUUCAUUGGGUUUAAAGGGUGCGCAGGCGGAAUUAUAAGUCAGUGGUGAAAUCUCCCGGCUCAACCGGGAAACUGCCAUUGAUACUGUUAUUCUUGAGUAUAGUUGAAGUGGGCGGAAUGUGUCAUGUAGCGGUGAAAUGCUUAGAUAUGACACAGAACACCGAUAGCGAAGGCAGCUCACUAAGCUAUAACUGACGCUCAUGCACGAAAGCGUGGGGAUCAAACAGGAUUAGAUACCCUGGUAGUCCACGCUGUAAACGAUGAUCACUCGUUGUUAGCGAUAUACUGUUAGCGACUGAGCGAAAGCAUUAAGUGAUCCACCUGGGGAGUACGGCGGCAACGUUGAAACUCAAAGGAAUUGACGGGGGCCCGCACAAGCGGAGGAGCAUGUGGUUUAAUUCGAUGAUACGCGAGGAACCUUACCUGGGCUUAAAUGUAGGACGACGUUUCGUGAAAGCGGAAUUUCCUUCGGGACGUCUUACAGGGGCUGCAUGUUGUCGUCAGCUCGGGCCGGGAGGUGUCGGGUUAGUCCCAUAACG
RNAcentral lists this ribosomal RNA (750 nucleotides) under uncultured bacterium. Its description in RNAcentral is "bacterial SSU rRNA". It matches the Rfam family "Bacterial small subunit ribosomal RNA", at positions 342 to 1094 of the family's 1533-position model. The record is from RNAcentral.